GCCUGUGGUCACACCAUCCUCAACAUGCUCUAUUUCAUCUCAUCUCAGAAGCUAAGCAGCAUUGGGCCCAGUUAGUACUUGGAUGGGAGACUGCUUGGGAAUACUGAGUCCAGGUGUUGUAGGCU
Molecule: ribosomal RNA, 125 nt
Organism: Calidris pygmaea (Spoon-billed sandpiper)
Lineage: Eukaryota; Metazoa; Chordata; Aves; Charadriiformes; Scolopacidae
Source: Ensembl